Molecule: ribosomal RNA, 439 nt
Filed under: uncultured bacterium
Lineage: Bacteria
Description: partial 16S ribosomal RNA
Rfam family: Bacterial small subunit ribosomal RNA
Source: RNAcentral
CUACGGGUGGCUGCAGUGAGGAAUAUUGCACAAUGGAGGAAACUCUGAUGCAGCAACGCCGCGUGGAGGAUGACGCAUUUCGGUGUGUAAACUCCUUUUAUAUGUCAAGAAAAUGACGGUAGCAUAUGAAUAAGCACCGGCUAACUCCGUGCCAGCAGCCGCGGUAAUACGGAGGGUGCAAGCGUUACGCGGAAUCACUGGGCGUAAAGGACGCGUAGGCGGGAUAUCAAGUCAGGUGUGAAAUCCUACAGCUUAACUGUAGAACUGCACUUGAAACUGGUAACCUAGAGUAUGGGAGGGGGAGAUGGAAUUAGUGGUGUAGGGGUAAAAUCCGUAGAUAUCACUAGGAAUACCUAAAGCGAAGGCGAUCUCCUGGAACAUUACUGACGCUAAGGCGUGAAAGCGUGGGGAGCAAACAGGAUUAGAUACCCUUGUAGUC